This 200-nucleotide unclassified non-coding RNA is filed under the name soil metagenome. RNAcentral describes it as "partial contains internal transcribed spacer 2 and large subunit ribosomal RNA". The record is from RNAcentral.
CCCUCAAACCUCGGGUUUGGUGUUGGACCCAAGUUGUGUGAACAACUGGUCUCAAAGACAAUGACGGCGUCCGUGGGACCCUCGGUGCAACGAGCUUUUAAACGAGCACGCGUCGAGUUUCAAGGACCUUCCGGGCCGGUCUCCUUCUUUUAUUUACAAAGGUUGACCUCGGAUCAGGUAGGAAUACCCGCUGAACUUAA